AACUUAGAGCAGUGGUAAUAUCGUAAUCGAUGAGGUGUUGUCGAGGUGCAAUUAUUGUUUGUUGAAAACUUUGACGCCUAU
Small nuclear RNA from Anopheles nili, 81 nucleotides. RefSeq annotates it as U4 spliceosomal RNA. The transcript has a single exon. Lineage: Eukaryota; Metazoa; Arthropoda; Insecta; Diptera; Culicidae. The record is from RefSeq and is a predicted model, not a curated record.